UUUUAGAGAGAGUUGUUUAGUAGUCCUCACCAUUUUUGUAAAAUAAUGUAUCAAUAAAUAUGAUGAGGAUUUAUUUGAGUAUAGAUAUUGUCUAGAAGAUAAUAUUUGUAUUCAAACUCACAGUUUUACUGUUGUAAUAAUAAAGUUGUAGUAAUUUCUGUACCAUGUAUUUGGCGACUCAGAAUGGGUUGGGUGGAAUGGACCUAUUUUGGGGGCGUCACAAAAUAUCUUGGUGAUCUGCUUUAUCCAUGCUUCCGCCUUUAGUGGUUUUGGCUUUCCAAUAAACUCCGGUGGUCCCAGCUCCUUGAACUAUUUAGCGGUGACCGUCCGAGAGUUUUCAGUAUUUCCACCUACAUUUUGGACAGGACUCGCUCUCGCCUGCUAUUGCAUGAAUUGCAUAAAGCCUCUGAACAUUCCAUCAUUCAUAAUUUGGUCAGUGUUGUUGUUUGCAUGAGGAUUAUCGCCUUCCUGAUGCACAUUAUCCUCAUUAAAAUUAUUAUCACACUAUUUCACAGAAUAGUGAGGACUACUAAUGCACCAUCUAAGACCAUCACUCUGUUCCCCGACUAGUCUCAGCUACGUUCAUAUUUCCUGAAGAGAAUAGUAAAUGAAAGGGUGAGCUCAACUAGCCUAGUAAGAAAUAUUAUGACCAAGAUAAUGCAGAAUAAUUUAUCGUUAGCAUUCAACAGUGUUAAACUAAUAAAAUACAAUAACUAUCAAGUUUAACUGCAGCGAAACAAGCAAUCCAUUAGAAGAGUUAAGUAGGGAAUAAAAUCUACUAUCUUCUAUGAUUUAAAAGUUUUUCAUCACUUUUAUCGCUAGGACUCAGCUUAAUAAAUAAUCCACAUCAUCGAAUCACCCCUGCACUGCGGCCAAUGAUAUUCUUUAGUAUCACGACCAUAAAUUACCCAUGCACUACGGGCCAAGGAUAUUCGUGUAUUCAUUAAUGGUAAUGAUCAUGCCAACAACUCUCCAUCAAUGCACUACGGGCCAAUGAGGACUUUUAUCACAUCAUUUAUAACAUUACGGUCAUGAUUACACCGAAUAAUCCCUGGUCAUAAUCAUACCAAGUCCAUCUAUGCACUACAGGCCACAGAUGACUUUCAACAAAAUAUAAACAUGAGGAUGAUGACAAUGAUAUAAGAAUUCAAUAAAGAAUGGAAUACCAAAAGAAAUCACCAUGCAUGCGAUAGACUGCACAGGCAGGUUAUUCCAACAGAAUAAUAAAGGAUGGAACCAGGUCCGGCGUAAACACAUAGAAAGGAUAUUCCGACAGAAU
This 1279-nucleotide long non-coding RNA is filed under the name Panax ginseng (ginseng). RNAcentral's name for it is "long non-coding RNA (PGIN_LNC019274)". The record is from RNAcentral. Lineage: Eukaryota; Viridiplantae; Streptophyta; Magnoliopsida; Apiales; Araliaceae.